GAUUCUCCCCCAACAGUAGUAGAAAAGGUUACGGUAGGGGCGGGCACCCAGGAGCUUCUUCUUCCUUGCCCUCUCUCAACUCUCCCACAACAAGAAGCAAACACAACCCAGUGACCCACCAACAACAACACGCGAAAAAUUCUCUCUCCUCCCCCCCCCCCCUUCUCUCUCUACAUAUACACACAGACAUAUAUAUACCACCAUCUCUCUGUCUCUCUAGUGUUAAUUUGGCUCAGAGAUGGAGACUGCCGCCGACGAAUCGCGAUUGGUGAUAGCGGGCGGUGGAGCUCCGCCGCCGCCUCCUCCGCCGCCGACCCCAGCGGCUCUGCCGGUUGAGGAGGAGGAUGAGGAGGGAGAGGAGGAGGAGGAACAAGAGGAGGAGGAAAUAAGCGAGGACGAGAGUUUGAUGGUGAAAGCGCAGGCCCUCAUGGAGAAGAUUACGUCCUCCCCUGAUAACCCUAACCCCAAUGUCCUCCACGCCCUUUCUUCCAUUUUCGAAACCCAAGAAUCCAGAUACAUGGAAGAAACAGGUCAUUCCUCCUUGAACAAUGCUCGAGCUUCUCACAGUGUUGGACGGUUGGGGAACUUGGUUCGGGACAAUGAUGAAUUUUUCGAAUUGAUAUCUUCAACGUUUCUGUCUGAAACUAGAUACCCGGUGUCUGUUCAGGCGGCUGCAGCAAGGCUUCUUUUCAGCUGUUCACUCACUUGGAUGUAUCCCCAUGUUUUUGAAGAAACUGUUUUGGAGAACAUAAAGGGAUGGGUAAUGGAUGAGACAGCAAAAUCUGCUGGUGAAGAUCACAACAGGAAGCACGAAUCAGGGAGGAAGAAAUCUUCAAACUCUGAGAUGUUGAGGACGUAUUCUACUGGCCUGCUUGCUGUAUGUCUGUUAGGUGGUGGUCAAGUAGUGGAAGAUGUGUUAACAUCUGGGUUGUCAGCUAAGCUUAUGCGAUAUCUUCGCAUACGGGCUUUAGGGGAGACAAGUUUGAAUCAAAAAGAUGCUCCUUAUACGGCAGAGAGCAAAAACACAACUUCUGCUAAUUGCAUACGAGGUAGAGAAGACAGUCGAAGUAGGUUCCGGCAAGUUUCUGAAACUUCCCAUUUGGAUGCUCCUAAGAUAAUGGAGGAAGGAUCAUUGGAUGACCAAACUGCAGAACAGGAUCAUGAUAGAAGACUGGCACGUGGGAACCGUGGAUGGGCACGUUCUAAAGGAAAGGGAAGGGUUAAUGAAGGAGAUGUAGAGAAUGAACAGGGUUUGAUAUCUCCGGGUUCUGGUAGUGGAUUGGGUGCCGAUGGGAGGAGCCUGAAGGACAGAGUUAUAAAUAGAAGUUUAGAGCUUAGAAGACUCCCAGAUCCCAAGAAGGGAUUGGGGAGGAUAGGUGGCGAUAGUCUUGUCAUAGAAAGAGAGGAUAACGAUGAUUGUUUCCAAGAAUGUAAAGUUGGCACCAAGGAUAUUUCUGAUCUAGUGAAAAAGGCAGUCCGAGCAGCUGAAGCUGAAGCCAGAGCAGCCAAUGCACCAGCAGAAGCAGUCAAAGCAGCUGGUGAUGCUGCAGCUGAAGCUGUCAAAAGUGCUAGUUUGGAGGAAUAUAGAAAGACAAAUGAUGAAGAAGCUGCAGUUUUGGUAGCUUCAAGAACUGCAUCUACAGUUAUUGAUGCUGCUAAUGCAGUAGAAGUUUCAAGAAGUUCGAGCGGUAUGCUUUCUGAUUCAAUGAAUUCAAGGGGAACCAUACCAGAACCAAACGAAGAAGUUGAAGAAUUUUUCAUUCCUGAUACUGACUCCCUGGCAAAGCUGAGAGAGAAAUUCUGCAUUCAGUGUCUUGUGACACUGGGAGAAUAUGUUGAAGUCCUUGGGCCUGUGUUGCAUGAAAAGGGGGUGGAUGUUUCUCUUGCCCUGUUGCAACGAAGUUCAAAACAUAAAGAGACAUUGAAGAUGGCAGUGCUCUUGCCUGAUGUAUUGAAGCUUAUCUGUACUUUGGCUGCUCACCGGAAAUUCGCUGCAUUAUUUGUGGAUCGUGGUGGCAUGCAAAGACUACUUGCUGUGCCAAGAGUUUCCCAGACCUUCUUUGGUCUUUCUUCAUGCUUAUUCACAAUUGGUUCACUUCAGGGAAUUAUGGAACGUGUAUGCGCUCUUCCUUCAGAUGCUGUACAACAGGUGGUUGAGUUAGCUCUUCAACUUCUUGAGUGCCCUCAGGACCAAGCCAGAAAAAAUGCUGCUUUAUUUUUCUCUAAUGCAUUUGUCUUCAAAGCAGUCCUAGAUUCCUUUGAUGCUCAGGAUGGCCCACAGAAAUCUCUCUCUCUUUUACUGGAUGCCGCCUCGGUAAGGUCUGGGGUUAAUUCUGCAGCAUUGGGAUUGUCUAGUAGUUCUGGUUCAGUUCGAAAUGAUCGAUCUCAUUCGGAAGUAUUGACCUCGUUGGAGAAGCAGAUAACUUAUCACACCUGCAUCGCAUUGAGACAAUAUUUUAGAGCACAUCUUCUCUUGUUAGUGGACUCAAUCCGUCCAAAUAAAAGCAAUCGAAGUGCAGUCCGGAAUAUACAAAAUGUUAGGGCUGCCUAUAAGCCUCUUGACAUUGGUAAUGAGGCUAUGGAUGCAAUAUGUCGACUGCUACAGAAGGAUAGGAAGCUUGGCCCUGCAUUUGUGAGGACUCGUUGGCCUGCAGUUGACAAGUUCUUAGCUUCUAAUGGGCAUAUAAUCAUGUUGGAAUUGUGUCAGGCCCCAACUGUGGAUCGUUAUUUGCAUGAUCUGCUUCAAUAUGCGUUGGGUGUUUUGCACAUUGUGACUUUGGUACCUUACAGCCGCAAACCAAUUUUGAAUGCAAUGUUAAGCAGUGAUCGUGUGGGUAUAGCAGUCAUUUUGGAUGCAGCAAAUGGUGCUGGUUAUCCUGACCCUGAGAUAAUUCAUCCGGCAUUGAAUGUGUUAGUCAAUCUUGUUUGCCCUCCUCCUUCAAUCAGUAAUAAACCACCUCCUAUUACACAAGUUCAGCAAUCUGCUUCUGGUCAAACCUCGAAUGGUUCUGCUGUGGAGUCUAGCGUGGUAGAUCGAGGCAGCUUAGCAGCACUUGGCACACCAUCUGUCAGCAGUACUUCUCAAGCACCUGCAAUUUCUGGGUUAGUGGGAGAUCGGAGGAUAUCUUUGGGUGCUGGAGCAGGUUGUGCUGGCCUUGCUGCUCAAUUGGAACAAGGAUACCAUCAAGCAAGAGAGGCUGUCCGUGCUAACAAUGGCAUAAAGGUUCUGCUUCAGCUUCUCCAACCGCGUAUAGUCACACCUCCUUCUGCCCUUGACUGUCUUCGUGCUCUUGCAUGCCGAGUUCUUCUUGGUUUAGCCAGAGAUGAUACAAUUGCACACAUAUUGACAAAGCUCCAGGUAGGGAAAAAAUUAUCAGAACUAAUCCGAGAUCCAGGCAGCCAGACUUCAGGAAAUGAGCACAGCAGGUGGCAAGCUGAACUAGCCCAGGUGGCAAUUGAGCUGAUUGCGGUCGUUACUAAUUCUGGGCGUGCAAGUACAUUAGCAGCUACUGAUGCGGCGACCCCUACUUUGAGGCGAAUAGAGAGGGCUGCAAUAGCUGCCGCCACCCCUAUUACUUACCAUUCCAGGGAACUUCUUCUACUUAUUCAUGAACACCUUCAAGCAUCUGGUCUGUCUGCAACUGCGGACACACUUCUGAAAGAGGGUCAGUUGAAUCCUUUGCCUUCUUCGGCAGCCCCAUCAUCUCUUGUGCAUCAAUCCUCAGUCCAGGACACCCCAUCAAUACAAAUUCAAUGGCCAUCCGGACAUACUCCUGGUGGAUUUCUAUCUGAUAGACCGAAAAUAUCUUUACAGGAUGAAGCUUCAAGAGCAAAGUGUGAUUUAGAUGUGGCUUCUGCAAAAAAGCCUGUGUCGUUCUCAUCAACCUUGAAUUGUCGGUCAAAAAUUCAGCCUCCAUCACAGGAUUGGCUGGCAUCAAGUAGCAAAAUCAGCAGUACUUCAAAAAAGUUUUCUGCACCCAUAGGUCCCCCGGAAACACCUUCCGUUUCUGCAGUGAAGCCCAGCUUGGAUAAUGACGUGCAAUUUAAAACUCCAAUUGUAUUGCCAAUGAAACGCAAGUUAACUGAGUUAAAGGACACUGGAGUGGCAUUAGCAGGGAAACGACUCCAAACCCGUGAACCGGGCCUUCGGUCCCCUGUUUUCCCCUCACCUAAUAAUACUUCCCGUAAAGGCACUCUACUGACCGAGGCUAAUGCGUAUUGUACACCAAGUUCUACUACAAAAGAUCAUUAUGGGCGAUUCAAACUGAAUGCCACUCUGGGUGAUAAUUCGGAUGAUAACCCAAGCACCCAUGUUGGUCAAAUGACCCUUUCAUCCCAGUUUGGAUUUCCAAGUGAUCCACAACCUAUCAACACCGAAAGGGUAACUCUGGACUCUCUUGUUGUUCAGUAUCUGAAACACCAGCAUCGCCAGUGCCCAGCUCCUAUUACUACAUUACCACCUCUAUCUCUUUCGCACCCGCAUGUGUGUCCCGAACCAAGACGAAGCCUUGAUGCUCCAUCAAACGUAACAGCCCGACUUUGUACGCGCGAGUUUAGAAGUAGGUAUGGUGGGAUCCACGGAAACCGUAGGGAUCGUCAAUUUGUCUAUAACAGGUUUAGACUGUGGAGAACUUACCGCGAUGAUGCUGGUGAUGGUGGUGGCCUUUUGACAUGCAUUACUUUUUUGGGAGAUUCCUCUCAAAUUGCUGCUGGCAGCCAUUCUGGAGAGCUCAAAAUUUUUGACUCCAGCAGCAAUAAUGUGGUGGAGAGCUGUGCUGGCCACCAGUAUCCUUUGACAGUUGUCCAGUCGUAUUAUUCCGGCGGGGCCCAAUUGGUUCUAUCUUCUAGUGCCCAUGACGUACGAUUGUGGGACGCGUCUUCAGUUUCGGCGGGACCAAGCCAUUCAUUUGAAGGGUGCAAGGCUGCAAGGUUAAGCAAUUCUGGGACCACAUUUGCGGCAUUAUCAACUGAGCCAUCCCAAAAGGAAAUUAUGUUGUAUGAUGUACAGACAUGCCAGUUAGAUCUGAAGCUGAUGGACACAUCGGCAACUUCUUCGGUCCGGGGCCAUGGUUAUUCCCUUGUUCACUUUAGCCCGUCAGACACAAUGCUGCUUUGGAAUGGAGUCUUGUGGGAUAGGCGUGGCUCUGGUCCAAUACAUCGGUUUGAUCAGUUUACGGACUACGGUGGUGGUGGCUUUCAUCCGGCUGGAAAUGAGGUGAUUAUAAAUUCCGAAGUCUGGGAUAUGCGGAAGUUCAGGCUCCUCCGAAGUGUACCUUCCUUGGAUCAGACUGUAAUAAAAUUCAAUGCCAGUGGGGAUGUUAUAUAUGCAAUUCUAAGGAGAAAUCUUGAGGAUGUUACUUCGGCAUUUCACACUCGUCGUGUCAAGCAUCCACUUUUUUCUGCUUUCCGCACGGUGGACGCUAUCAACUACUAUGACAUUGCCACCAUUCCAGUAGAUCGUUGUGUCCUUGAUUUGGCAACGGAACCAACCGAUUCUUUUGUGGGGUUGGUUUCAAUGGACGAUCAAGACGAGAUGUAUUCUUCUGCGAGGGUGUAUGAAAUCGGCCGUCGGAGGUCCACCGAUGACGACUCCGAUCCUGAUGAUGUUGAGAGCGAAGAAGAGGAGGACGACGACGACGAGGAUGGUGAUGAUGACUCGUUGAUGGGACCGGAUAUUGAUGGGGAUGGUGAGAGUGAUGGUGAUGAUAUGAGCAAUGAUGACGAUGAUGAUAGUCUCAGUGAGUUUGACGACGACGACGAUGAUGAUGGAGAAGAUGGUAAUUUUAUGAUGGAUGGUUUAGACUUUAACGGGGGUGGUGGAAUCUUCGAGAUCGUAACCGAGGGCGAUGAAGACGAUGACAGUCAGGUGGUUGAAUCUCCGAGUAGUGGGGACGAUGAAGAUUUUGUAGGUUUUGGCUUCUAAAUGGGGGUAUAUAAUUACCUGAAUGGGAAAAGAAGUUGCUAAUUUAGGUGAUUUGAUGGAAAAAGGAGUUGAAUCUAUGGGAGAGGCGUUUCUUUUAAAUUGAGGAAAUUUUUGAAAAUGUUUCGAGGUGGUUUUUGCGGUUGAUGAGAAUGUUUUGGAUGUUGCAGACUGCAGAGGUUGAUGGAUGCCUCCAUCGAUGAGGUGGAGAUUGUUGGGCUUGGCAUCCCUUUUCGUGGUAGCCAGCACAUCCAAAAUCUAAAGAACGCAUGCACAGCACUGUCAUUGAGAUUAAGGUAAACCCACCAUUUAUAUAGAAGUAAUAGUAGGAAAUAGGAAUACCAUUGGCAGAGGUGAAUCAACCCAGCAAGGAGAACAAAACAAUUAUCCCAGUUGGCUCCCCAAGGGCUCUAGGCAUGGGCUGAGGAUAUAUGGCCCAACUUGACAUGGGCCUUUCUUUCUAGUGGACCCUUUUGUAUGACAUGAAAAUUGUGGAUCUACUGGACCUACAACGAGUGAUAAUAAUGGGCACUUUCUAUGUUCAAAGGUUAUGAUCAUUAUGGUUGAUCUUCA
This is an RNA transcript of Rhododendron vialii, 6493 nucleotides long. It is a transcript of the gene named DDB1- and CUL4-associated factor homolog 1, with no coding region annotated. The record is from RefSeq and is a predicted model, not a curated record. The transcript has 15 exons. NCBI's taxonomy places the organism in Eukaryota, Viridiplantae, Streptophyta, Magnoliopsida, Ericales, Ericaceae.